CAUUAGUGAAUUUUAGGGACUCCACUCUGUGGAUCCCGACCCUCACCAUAAUCCACAUACACUUGUGCACUGUUGGUCAGGUGUGAGCUGAGCCCUUUACCGGGCGACGCUUGUUUUAUCACCUGCCAACGCCCUUAUAACAAACUCUGAGAACUAUGAAUGUGAAUUUAACUUGCCAAUUUUUGGCGAAAUUAAAUACAACUUUCGACAACGGAUCUCUUGGUUCUCCCAUCGAUGAAGAACGCAGCGAAUUGCGAUAAGUAAUGUGAAUUGCAGAAUUCAGUGAAUCAUCGAAUCUUUGAACGCACCUUGCGCUCCCUGGUAUUCCUAGGAGCAUGCCUGUUUGAGUGUCAUGAAUUCCUCAAAUCCCAAUGUUUUGCAAAAUUCAUUGCUUGGAUUUGGUUGUGGGCCUAUAUUGCUGCCUCACCGCAGCUGGCCUUAAAGAUAUUAGCUGGACUCUCCGAGACUCUUGGAUAGUUCCACUUGAUGUGAUAAAUUUGCAUCGGUGGGUCAAGAUUAUGCUUGGGAAGUGUGAGAAGUCUGCUUCUAAUCCGGCGAGAGGUUCCAUCCUCGACCCAAUUCAUUUACAACUCUGGCCUCAAAUCAGGUAGGACUACCCGCUGAACUUAAGCAUAUCAAUAAGCGGAGGAAAAGAAACUAACAAGGAUUCCCCUAGUAACGGCGAGUGAAGCGGGAAGAGCUCAAAUUUGAAAGCUGGCACCUUCGGUGUCCGCGUUGUAAUCUCGAGAAGUGUUUUCCGUGCUGGACCAUGUACAAGUUCCUUGGAAUAGGACGUCAUAGAGGGUGAAAAUCCCGUACUUGACAUGGACGCCCAGUGCUUUGUGAUACA
This 850-nucleotide ribosomal RNA is filed under the name Quambalaria eucalypti. Its description in RNAcentral is "eukaryotic LSU rRNA". The stretch from base 594 to 850 matches the Rfam family "Eukaryotic large subunit ribosomal RNA", at positions 1 to 253 of the family's 3401-position model. The record is from RNAcentral. Lineage: Eukaryota; Fungi; Basidiomycota; Exobasidiomycetes; Microstromatales; Quambalariaceae.